GACGAACGCUGGCGGCGUGCCUAAUACAUGCAAGUCGAACGCUUCUUUCCUCCCGAGUGCUUGCACACAAUUGGAAAGAGGAGUGGCGGACGGGUGAGUAACACGUGGGUAACCUACCCAUCAGAGGGGGAUAACACUUGGAAACAGGUGCUAAUACCGCAUAACAGUUUAUGCCGCAUGGCAUAAGAGUGAAAGGCGCUUUCGGGUGUCGCUGAUGGAUGGACCCGCGGUGCAUUAGCUAGUUGGUGAGGUAACGGCUCACCAAGGCCACGAUGCAUAGCCGACCUGAGAGGGUGAUCGGCCACACUGGGACUGAGACACGGCCCAGACUCCUACGGGAGGCAGCAGUAGGGAAUCUUCGGCAAUGGACGAAAGUCUGACCGAGCAACGCCGCGUGAGUGAAGAAGGUUUUCGGAUCGUAAAACUCUGUUGUUAGAGAAGAACAAGGACGUUAGUAACUGAACGUCCCCUGACGGUAUCUAACCAGAAAGCCACGGCUAACUACGUG
Molecule: ribosomal RNA, 508 nt
Filed under: uncultured bacterium
Lineage: Bacteria
Description: partial 16S ribosomal RNA
Rfam family: Bacterial small subunit ribosomal RNA
Source: RNAcentral